CCAGAGUACCACGGGACACGUGAAACCCUGUGGGAAGCAGGAGGGACCACCCUCCAAGGCUAAAUACUACCUAGUGACCGAUAGCGUAUAGUACCGUGAGGGAAAGGUGAAAAGAACCCCGGGCGGGGAGUGAAAUAGAACCUGAAACCCUGCACUUACAAGCUGUGGAAGCACAUUUCUUGUGUGACCGCGUACUUUUUGUAGAACGGGCCAACGAGUUACGUUAAGUAGCAAGGUUAAGCACUUAAGGUGUGGAGC
Molecule: ribosomal RNA, 258 nt
Filed under: Clostridioides difficile
Lineage: Bacteria; Bacillati; Bacillota; Clostridia; Peptostreptococcales; Peptostreptococcaceae
Description: partial 23S ribosomal RNA
Rfam family: Bacterial large subunit ribosomal RNA
Source: RNAcentral